Molecule: ribosomal RNA, 383 nt
Filed under: uncultured bacterium
Lineage: Bacteria
Description: bacterial SSU rRNA
Rfam family: Bacterial small subunit ribosomal RNA
Source: RNAcentral
AUUGAACGCUGGCGGCAUGCCUUACACAUGCAAGUCGAACGGUAACAGGUCUUCGGAUGCUGACGAGUGGCGAACGGGUGAGUAAUACAUCGGAACGUGCCCGAGAGUGGGGAUAACGAAGCGAAAGCUUUGCUAAUACCGCAUACGAUCUCAGGAUGAAAGCAGGGGACCGCAAGGCCUUGCGCUCACGGAGCGGCCGAUGGCAGAUUAGGUAGUUGGUGGGAUAAAAGCUUACCAAGCCGACGAUCUGUAGCUGGUCUGAGAGGACGACCAGCCACACUGGGACUGAGACACGGCCCAGACUCCUACGGGAGGCAGCAGUGGGGAAUUUUGGACAAAGGGCGCAAGCCUGAUCCAGCCAUGCCGCGUGCAGGAUGAAGGCC